Clostridium sp. CAG:470 is the source of this 82-nucleotide non-coding RNA. NCBI's taxonomy places the organism in Bacteria, Bacillati, Bacillota, Clostridia, Eubacteriales, Clostridiaceae. The record is from Rfam.
GUUAUUUGAAGUGGACAAUAGUGCCAUCCACACACCCUAGUGGUCAAAAGAGAUGCAGGAUUUGGCACACCUGCCAAAUAAC